This 301-nucleotide ribosomal RNA is filed under the name uncultured bacterium. RNAcentral describes it as "partial 16S ribosomal RNA". It matches the Rfam family "Bacterial small subunit ribosomal RNA", at positions 509 to 807 of the family's 1533-position model. The record is from RNAcentral.
CAGUAGCCACGGUAAUACGGAGGGGGCUAGCGUUGUUCGGAAUUACUGGGCGUAAAGCGCACGUAGGCGGCUUGGUAAGUUAGAGGUGAAAGCCCGGAGCUCAACUCCGGAAUUGCCUUUAAGACUGCCGAGCUAGUAGGUGAGAGAGGUAAGUGGAAUUCCGAGUGUAGAGGUGAAAUUCGUAGAUAUUCGGAAGAACACCAGUGGCGAAGGCGGCUUACUGGCUCAUUCUAGACGCUGAGGUGCGAAAGCGUGGGGAGCAAACAGGAUUAGAUACCCGAGUAGUCCCUGUCUCUUAUAC